This is an RNA transcript of Cebus imitator (Panamanian white-faced capuchin), 2860 nucleotides long. It is a transcript of the gene named integrator complex subunit 10, with no coding region annotated. The record is from RefSeq and is a predicted model, not a curated record. The transcript is spliced from 18 exons. NCBI's taxonomy places the organism in Eukaryota, Metazoa, Chordata, Mammalia, Primates, Cebidae.
AAACCUUGCAAUACCAAGAUUGGAUGAAAAUGACUAGGUGGCCUAGCGCCUGCCCGCUCCCGCGCAUGCUCCCUGACUUCACCAGGGUCAUGCCGCAGCCCGCAGGAAUAAAAAUCCACUUCUCCGCAUUUUGGAGAUCACCUGGUAGCGGUUCAAACGCUUUGGCUUCUCAGAGAGGAGAGGACCGGGCGAUCACGAGGAGCCGAGGGAGAAGGCUGCUCGCAAAGCCCGGAAAAGCUUUCCCGAUCCACUUUGCGGGCCUCCGGGCGCCUCCAGACAUGCGCAGUAGCCUCCCCAGCGGUGGCGGCGGUGGUGGCGGCGCUGGUGGAGGCUGAGUGUCCAGAGCCGGACGUUCCGGCCGCUUCGGGCUGGCCGCUGGAGAGCGCCCGGGUCAUGUCGGCCCAGGGGGACUGCGAGUUCCUGGUGCAGCGAGCCCGGGAGUUGGUGCCGCAAGACCUGUGGGCAGCCAAGGCGUGGCUGAUCACGGCCCGCAGCCUCUACCCGACAGACUUUAAUAUUCAGUAUGAGAUGUACACCAUCGAGCGGAAUGCAGAGCGGACCGCCACCGCCGGGAGGCUGCUGUACGACAUGUUUGUGAGUUUCCCAGACCAGCCGGUGGUAUGGAGAGAAAUCAGCAUUAUUACAUCAGCCUUAAGGAAUGAUUCACAGGACAAACAAACCCAAUUUUUAAGAAGUUUGUUUGAAACUCUUCCUGGCCGGGUCCAGUGUGAAAUGUUACUAAAGGUCACGGAACAAUGCUUCAACACGUUAGAACGAUCAGAAAUGUUGCUUCUACUUUUGAGGCGCUUCCCUGAAACGGUGGUGCAGCAUGGGGUUGGCCUUGGGGAGGCACUAUUAGAGGCUGAAACUAUUGAAGAACAAGAAUCUCCUGUGAACUGCUUUAGAAAAUUAUUUGUUUGUGAUGUCCUUCCUCUAAUAAUUAACAACCAUGAUGUUCGAUUGCCUGCUAAUUUAUUAUAUAAGUACUUGAACAAAGCAGCUGAAUUUUAUAUCAAUUAUGUCACUAGGUCUACUCAAAUAGAAAAUCAGCAUCAAGGUGCCCAGGAUACAUCUGAUUUAAUGUCACCUAGCAAACGUAGCUCUCAGAAGUACAUAAUAGAAGGGCUGACGGAAAAAUCAUCCCAGAUCGUGGACCCUUGGGAGAGGUUGUUUAAGAUUUUGAAUGUUGUUGGAAUGAGAUGUGAAUGGCAAAUGGAUAAAGGAAGACGAAGCUACGGAGAAAUUUUGCAUAGAAUGAAGGAUCUCUGCAGAUACAUGAAUAACUUCGAUAGCGAAGCACAUGCAAAAUAUAAAAACCAAGUAGUAUAUUCCACCAUGCUGGUCUUCUUUAAGAAUGCGUUCCAGUAUGUCAACAGCAUACAGCCGUCUCUCUUCCAAGGUCCUAAUGCCCCAAACCAAGUUCCGCUUGUUCUUCUUGAAGAUGUAUCGAACGUGUAUGGUGAUGUAGAAAUUGACCGUAACAAACACAUCCAUAAAAAAAGGAAACUAGCUGAAGGAAGAGAAAAAACCAUGAGUUCAGACGAUGAAGACUGUUCAGCAAAAGGAAGAAAUCGUCACAUUGUUGUUAAUAAAGCGGAACUCGCUAACUCCGUUGAAGUGUUAGAAAGCUUUAAAUGGGCCAGGGAGAGCUGGGAGUUGCUGUAUUCCCUAGAAUUCCUUGACAAAGAAUUUACAAGAAUUUGUUUGGCCUGGAAGACGGAUACUUGGCUUUGGUUAAGAAUCUUCCUCACUGAUAUGAUCAUCUAUCAGGGUCAAUAUAAAAAGGCAAUAGCCAGCCUGCAUCACUUAGCAGCUCUCCAGGGAUCCAUUUCUCAGCCACCAAUCACAGGGCAGGGGACCCUGGAGCAUCAGAGGGCGCUCAUCCAGCUGGCGACGUGCCACUUUGCAUUAGGGGAGUACAGAAUGACAUGUGAAAAAGUCCUCGAUUUGAUGUGCUACAUGGUACUCCCCAUUCAAGAUGGAGGCAAAUCCCAGGAGGAACCCACAAAAAUAAAGCCUAAAUUUAGAAAAGGUUUGGAUCUGAAGCUCCUGCCUUGUACCAGCAAGGCUAUCAUGCCAUACUGCCUGCAUUUAAUGUUAGCCUGUUUUAAGCUUAGAGCUUUCACAGACAACAGAGACGACAUGGCACUGGGGCAUGUGAUUGUGUUGCUUCAGCAAGAGUGGCCACGGGGCGAGAACCUUUUCCUGAAAGCUGUCAAUAAAAUUUGCCAACAAGGAAAUUUCCAAUAUGAGAAUUUUUUCAAUUACGUUACAAAUAUUGAUAUGCUGGAGGAAUUUGCCUACUUGAGAACUCAGGAAGGUGGGAAAAUUCAUCUGGAAUUACUACCCAAUCAAGGAAUGCUGAUCAAAAUUCCGCACAGCCAUGGGUCCCGGACUCUUAUUUUCCCCUCAUCUGUUCUCAAUACGUUUUUGAAAUUCAAACUCACCUUUUUUUUUUUUUUUUUUUUUUUUUUUUAAAUCAAAAACUUUGCCAGACCCUUUAAUCCUCUUGGAAAGUCCUCUCCAGUGGGGCUGCAGUCCUGUUAAAGGUGGCUACCAGACAUCACCAGGCUGAAUGCUGGGACUGGUACACCAUGAGAAAAGUGGAAAUUAAAGAGGCUGGCUUUGAAAAUGUGUCUUCUCAAAGGCUGCCCCUGCCCCCUAUUGCCAUUCAGCUACAUUCCAUCGUCCUCUUUCUCCCUGGCCACUUUUUAUACCACAUCACAAGGGGGCUGAGCUCUGGGACCAGGAACUGAGACGACUCUGGACAUGCACCAGCAGCAGCAGGCACCACACGGUAACUCGAGGCAUCACCAAAGGCGUGAAGGAGGACUUUCGCCUGGCCAUGGAGCGCCAGGUC